CUGCUGCUCCAGCUCCCGGGGACAGCCAGGCUAGAUCCCUCCCUUUCCUCCCAGUACUUCUGACUCAUGGCCACAUUUCACGGCAGACCUGCCGUCUUCUUCUUCCCUCCUGUCUGGGCUCACUGGGGGCUUACCUGGAGGCUCCUUUCCUGGCAUCCCCGAGUCCCUGGCCUUGCUAGCUUUUUGCUCCACUGGCCCUGAAGCACCAAACCCUGGCUGCGUCCUCCCUGACUGCUCCUUCACUCUCCCUCUCCGGGGCAGUCAUGCGCUGAUGGGAACACUGAGAGCCGCUGCUGACUGGCGCCAUCCUCAGCACACGUCCUACCUGUGCUUCGCCUCAACAGCCCCUUCACCUGUCAUUUUCACCCAGGAUUAUCCCGCACCUUCACCUCUCCCUGCCAGCUCAGACAGCAGAGGCCCCUUCCUCCUAGAUUACACAGAAACAUGGGGCCUCCACGCAUAGUCUUUGUCACGCUUUGCCUUCCUUACCUCCUUGCUCGGUCUCACAGGGAGGUUAGGGUGGUGCUGUGCCUGUUCGAAGCCACUGCCUCCCCUGUGCUAUCCCCACCCUCCUCCAACAAGACCUUGCUCCAACCUCCUCUCUCCUGUUCCCACCAGCCUUUUUCUCUCAGUGCACUGACAUGCUGAUGUUUACUCCCCACCUACACUCAGGGGCACCAAAGAGGAAUGGACAGCGAGGUCGAAAAGAAACGAGGAGAGAAGAGUGACUACAGAUACAAGAGGGGAGAGAAUUUCAAGGAGGGACAGAUGAAAGGAACUCGAGUGUAUUUAAAUGCUGACAGGAAGGUGCCAGUAGAGAUGGAGACACUGAAGAUACAGGAGAGAAGGGAUAAGACGUGGACAAGGUCUCUACCGGAGCAGCAUACGAGGGGGUCCUGGGCUGAGAUGGAAUUAGCUGUAGAACAAAGGAGGCGCAGCCACACCUUAUAAUGGGAGUGAAGAGAACAAACGUGGGCCGGGCUCGGGCAUGUGGGCUCCAGAAGUUGACGCUUCCUUCUGGAGCUCUCUCCUCAGAAGCAGGUAAGUUUCUCUGCAGGGAGCGGGAGAAGGGACUCUGGAGUCGCUGUCACGAGUAAUGGGAGAGAAAACGGAGCAGGACACCUAAAGUCCAUCAAGUAGUAACGAAGCCUCAGCUGAGGCUGGAAACCUUGCUUCUGUCGUGAUGCAGCAGGAGAGGGGCCCGAUGGCCCUGCGAGAGGCCAGGGCAGGAGCACAUGGGCAGGCUGCCGGACUAGGACUGCACCAGCUUUCACGAGGUUUGGCGCUUUUGAUUGCAGCCAGCGUGUUCUCCUGGGAGUCACGUGGCCAGUCUUAAACCAACACAAAGCCCUGUGUGCACAUGUGAGCUCCAGUGAUACUGUGAAGUACAUAUUUGGUCUAUAUCCCUGUGUCCUGGCAUAUAAUUCCUAAAAUCCUUGGACUCUCCAAAGUGAGAGAAGACUCAAAUCAUUCCCAAUGGAGCCACCUCUGACAGGCUUCCCAGAAGUGAGAGGGGAGCUCCCUCUCCCUCCAAUAACGCAGCGUCAGAGCCAUCAUCACUGCCUGUGUCUUGUAGAGGCACUGGGGCGUGUGCUCUGAGACAAAGGCCUUGACCUUCAGGAGCGGCCACUCCAGUUGGACAGAGAAAUGUUAAGACUCGAGUCAAGUGGGCUAAUUCGCUCACAUGCUAGGCUGAGAUUUCAGAGAUUUUUAUUAUAACUUUUAAGUUGAUUUCACCUUUAGCCUGUCUGAGACCUGACCUGCCUGCAGAUUCAGCCACUUCUGGCUGUACUGGAGCAGGACUGAUGCCUCCGCUGUCUUAUGCUGGGAAGAGGGGGACAGACGGGCAAGAGACUGAAUCAAUCCCUUUUCAAGCAGCUUAAGUUCCAGAUUUGGCUUAAAAAUGUAAUUUAAAAAAAUUGUACCUUCUUUUCAUUAAUGGCUAAUAUUUAUUGAGCAUUCAUGAUGCCAGACACUUGAUAUACACUAUAAAUUGCCACUGAGUGUUGAUGUUACAGCCCCAUUUCCAAAUGCAGAGGCUUUGGUCACUUUCCAAGGGCACUCGGCCAGUCAGCCCGGGCUGCCCUAUUCAGUGGCCCCAUGGGGUCUUCACACCACACGCUAAUGCUGUUUUCACGACCAUCUCUAUAACCUUGUUUGUAAUCUGAGACAUACAUGUGAACUAAAGGCAAUUCAUUUCAGAUUACACAUUUAACUUUUUCUUAUUCCAUUUAAAAUCAUGUUACAAUGAAAAGAAUUUCCUUUAUAUAUGGGCGAGUCCACAUUAAUGAGAACAUAGUACAUGGAAGUCCAA
Molecule: long non-coding RNA, 2314 nt
Organism: Lemur catta (Ring-tailed lemur)
Lineage: Eukaryota; Metazoa; Chordata; Mammalia; Primates; Lemuridae
Exons: 4
Source: RefSeq, a predicted model, not a curated record